GGAUUAGUGGCGAACGGGUGAGUAACACGUGGGCAAUCUGCCCUGCACUCUGGGACAAGCCCUGGAAACGGGGUCUAAUACCGGAUAAUACUGUUCCCCUCCUGGGGGGCGGUUGAAAGCUCCGGCGGUGCAGGAUGAGCCCGCGGCCUAUCAGCUUGUUGGUGGGGUAAUGGCCUACCAAGGCGACGACGGGUAGCCGGCCUGAGAGGGCGACCGGCCACACUGGGACUGAGACACGGCCCAGACUCCUACGGGAGGCAGCAGUGGGGAAUAUUGCACAAUGGGCGAAAGCCUGAUGCAGCGACGCCGCGUGAGGGAUGACGGCCUUCGGGUUGUAAACCUCUUUCAGCAGGGAAGAAGCGAAAGUGACGGUACCUGCAGAAGAAGCGCCGGCUAACUACGUGCCAGCAGCCGCGGUAAUACGUAGGGCGCAAGCGUUGUCCGGAAUUAUUGGGCGUAAAGAGCUCGUAGGCGGUCUGUCACGUCGGGUGUGAAAGCCCGGGGCUUAACCCCGGGUCUGCAUUCGAUACGGGCAGACUAGAGUGUGGUAGGGGAGAUCGGAAUUCCUGGUGUAGCGGUGAAAUGCGCAGAUAUCAGGAGGAACACCGGUGGCGAAGGCGGAUCUCUGGGCCAUUACUGACGCUGAGGAGCGAAAGCGUGGGGAGCG
This 667-nucleotide ribosomal RNA is filed under the name Streptomyces sp. 293(2010). RNAcentral describes it as "bacterial SSU rRNA". It matches the Rfam family "Bacterial small subunit ribosomal RNA", at positions 89 to 770 of the family's 1533-position model. Lineage: Bacteria; Bacillati; Actinomycetota; Actinomycetes; Kitasatosporales; Streptomycetaceae. The record is from RNAcentral.